This 429-nucleotide ribosomal RNA is filed under the name Pseudomonadota bacterium. RNAcentral's name for it is "Proteobacteria bacterium partial 16S ribosomal RNA". It matches the Rfam family "Bacterial small subunit ribosomal RNA", at positions 355 to 776 of the family's 1533-position model. The record is from RNAcentral. Lineage: Bacteria; Pseudomonadati; Pseudomonadota.
UGGGGAAUAUUGGACAAUGGGCGAAGGCCUGAUCCAGCCAUGCCGCGUGUGUGAAGAAGGUCUUCGGAUUGUAAAGCACUUUAAGUUGGGAGGAAGGGCAGUAAGCGAAUACCUUGCUGUUUUGACGUUACCGACAGAAUAAGCACCGGCUAACUCUGUGCCAGCAGCCGCGGUAAUACAGAGGGUGCAAGCGUUAAUCGGAAUUACUGGGCGUAAAGCGCGCGUAGGUGGUUCGUUAAGUUGAAUGUGAAAGCCCCGGGCUCAACCUGGGAACUGCAUCCAAAACUGGCGAGCUAGAGUAGGGCAGAGGGUGGUGGAAUUUCCUGUGUAGCGGUGAAAUGCGUAGAUAUAGGAAGGAACACCAGUGGCGAAGGCGACCACCUGGGCUCAUACUGACACUGAGGUGCGAAAGCGUGGGGAGCAAACAGG